Molecule: non-coding RNA, 108 nt
Organism: Bursaphelenchus xylophilus (pine wood nematode)
Lineage: Eukaryota; Metazoa; Nematoda; Chromadorea; Rhabditida; Aphelenchoididae
Source: Rfam
CGCAGGUGAAAGACAUGGGUAGUGAGACGCUUUGCGGGUUCGGCAUUCCGUCGGCAUAUUCCGCUCGCCCUUUGAUGGUCGUGUCACUAUUCUGUUUUUCGCCCGCUC